UAUAAUCAGAUAAAGAUUUAGGAAAGCCUGUGAGUGGUCGAGGCACGCGAAUCCGCGCUCUCCUUAGGAAGGAAACACCCCCUACUGCACCGGGUUGAUGAUGCUCUUUCCCCAAGAUACAACGACCUUCAAAUCUUCUCUUGUGCAGCAAAGAAGAUUCACGAACCAGUUUGUUGCCUAACAAAUACGAUAUAAACUUAGGAGAGAGAGGAGUA
This 215-nucleotide long non-coding RNA is filed under the name Actinidia chinensis (golden kiwifruit). Its description in RNAcentral is "long non-coding RNA (ACHI_LNC003322)". Lineage: Eukaryota; Viridiplantae; Streptophyta; Magnoliopsida; Ericales; Actinidiaceae. The record is from RNAcentral.